Long non-coding RNA from Homo sapiens (human), 2929 nucleotides. Ensembl annotates it as long intergenic non-protein coding RNA 511. The record is from Ensembl. Lineage: Eukaryota; Metazoa; Chordata; Mammalia; Primates; Hominidae.
AGGGCGCGCAGGCGGCGCGGGUGCGCGGUGCGGCGCUGGUAUCCAGAGGACGCGGUCACCGCCUCUGGCAUUUGUCGUUCUGCGCUUCUCCGCAAGGACCCUCUGUUAGGCAGGCGCCCACCGUAAGCCUCCCGGGCCUUGUGAACCUGCAAACCCAAGUCUGAGAGACGAUCCGCCUUCAGCGCUUUCCAGCUUGGCAGAGAGGCUUUCCCGGCGGGGAUCUUUGGUUGGCGCUGGCGAUGCGCGGGGAAGAAAGGCGAGGAGCGGCGUCCAGGCUGGGUGAUGUCCCAGCACGAGUAGGCGGGAUGCGCUCGCUUGGUCCUCCGGGCGCCCGGUCCCUGCCCGCGUCGCGCGCCCACCCCUGGGGACGAGAAGGCGGCCGCCUGAGGACCCCCGCCCGCGACCUCCGCGAGUCUGGAGCGCAGAGGACAGGGUCUGGCUGCUCUUUGGCCUUGGAUGGAAAGUGGGGAAUUGGGUGGGGGGCUGCGGACCCCUUAACGUGGAUUACUUGGUGUGUAUCAGCUGGGCUCAGAAGACCCACGACCUCUUCUCCAUCCGUGGAUUGAUUUGUUCUGCUUAACAGCUGGGUCGCCAAGCUGGAGGUAUUUUUCCCUCUCCACCCUGGUCUUCUCCUGUAACGUGUGGCCGCCUUUUCCAGCACGGCCUCCUGCCUUCCUGGUGCACUUUUUGGAGAACGUGGUGGAAUCAGAGGUUUCUGGCUGACUCGGUGGGUGCUUUGAACCAGGAAAGGACAAGAAAGAGGUUGGAGUACAGUGGCAUGAUCUCAGCUCACUGCAGCCUCGACUUCCUGGGCUCAAGAAAUCCUCCUGUCUCUGCCUUCCGAGUAGCUGUGAUCACAGUUGUAUGCCAUCAUGCCCAGAAACAGCUUGAUGGAUUGCUGAGGCAGAGUGCACCGAGCAAGGGUUCAGUCCUCCAUAGAGCUCAGAGCAAAAGGAAUGACCCAGCCGGGAUGAACUUGAACCUAUGGCCACCUAGCUCUGGUUUCUGCUUGGACAUUUUAUUUCAAUCUUAUGGCCUGCCUUGCGCUCCAAGGGUUACUUAUUUCCUCUGCACAUAUUUUAUUUUGAUGCCAAAAUUUCAGAUCUGUUUUCUUAAGAGCAGAAGGUCUUGACCUCAAAGCCCGGGCCAUCACACAGCUCUCUGUGGAGUGGGGUGAGGGAGGCCAGCUGCCGGUCACCUUCUGCUCCAGCACCGUGGGAGGCCUGAGUGGCAAAGCUCCAGCCCCGCUGCUCCCGGGCGGUGUCCGCAACAAGAGGCUUCCGCCCCAUCCCACCAGCCAUCCACGGAGACGCCCUCCCCAGAGGUCAGGAGGGUAGCGGGGGAAGGAAAUGCCAAUCAAUCCAUCAAAGCCCCGCCCUCCCGGGGCUCCUAGGCCCCGGGAGCUGCGUCUGCGCAUCCUUGACCCACUCCUGGGGGCCAGGAGCUGGGCGAGCCGGGGAAGUGCAUUUGUGAAAUAGAAAACAAGAUCAUCUGUAUCAGGAAUGAUGGCAGAAGACGCUUAAAAUUCUGGCAUUGCCACUGAGAAGAAUGAAGGAUGGAGCUGAUUAGAAAAUUGUAGGAUUGCUGAGCACUGUGAGAGGUUUGUCUGAAACUGGCUCUUGACACUCCGUACCCUCCCCAUGUGUAGGGGUCUGUGAGCAGACUAGUGGUAUGCAGCCACUCUCAUAUGGGAGGGAAGCAGACCUUUUGUUGGCUUGGUCCAUAAGUGCGGUUAGAAGUGGAAUGAUGGGAAGCACUGUUAGAGUUAUUGGCAUAAGAAUGACCAUGGUCAAAUGGGCUGGGUUGGGAAGAAAAUGGCACUAGGAGUGAGGUGGCAAAUUUAAACAAAAGGGAGGGGUCUAGAGUGUGGAGAUGAUAAUGAGGUGAGAGAAUGGGCAUAGAGAAAAUGCUGGAAAGAUAGGACAUUGAGUCAGAGACCUCAGAUUUUAAAAGGUCAGAGGUAGGACUAUUUUGGGUGAUGAAAAAUCCAAGACAUGCCGUGAGAGUGAGUUGGGAAGAAUAUAGACAGCGAAAAGCAUUCAAAUAAUGGUCAAGGAACCAGAAAGUCUUAGUGUUCAUUGGACAUUGACCCCUUCUAGGAUGGUUGCAGAGGUUGGCUUCGAAAGAACCCAUGAGGCAGCAAGUGUGAGACGGAAGAACCCAAGAGCUCAGAGAUAACACUUGUUUUAGGGAUGAAGACUAACCCAACUCUCAAGGUAGAAUUCUUGAUAAACACGGUCUCCUAGGCAAAGAAGAUGAAGGGCAGGGAGGGUCUGUUCCUCUUUGUUUUAUUACCAAGUUAUGCUAGGCCUGAACUGGUGGAACUCGGCUUGUUUUAACAGUGAAGCGGCAAAGUGAGUUAUUUUCAGUAUACAGAGAAGUGGAAACUUCGACAAGAAGAGUGUCAAUGACUUGCCCAAAAUGACACCAUCAAAGUGCUGGCCUCAGUUUGUCACUUCAUCUCCCUCUUCCUUCCCCUUGGCUGCUUUUCUUGCAUGUAACCUAUUACAGCAGAGCCCGAUCAGCAUGGGCCUCCCUGUUGCGUGCCCCCUGGAGCUUUGGCAUUUAGAUUUGAUGCAGGGAGGUGGAGGGGAAUUUUCCCAUUUGGCAGAAUGUGUGAAAAUCAGGAGGGAAUGUUAUUCCUGCACAGCAACAAACAGUAUCAAAUCAGUACUUCUUUCUUUCAUCGGACUCUGUUGCUAUUUAUGUAGAUUUAACAGUUCCAUAACAAUACCUUUCGCUUGGAAAGGUCCUUCUCUUACCAAAAAUGCAAAAAGAAACCUGCUAUAUUUUUCAUUUCAGAAGUAGACACCACAGGGCCAGGCGCGGUGGUUCAUGCCUGUAAUCCCAGCACUUUGGGAGUCCAAGGUGGGUGGAUCACGAGGUCAGGAGAUCCAGACCAUCCUGGCUAACAGAGUGAAACUCUGUC